This 253-nucleotide ribosomal RNA is filed under the name uncultured bacterium. RNAcentral's name for it is "partial 16S ribosomal RNA". It matches the Rfam family "Bacterial small subunit ribosomal RNA", at positions 524 to 776 of the family's 1533-position model. The record is from RNAcentral.
UACAGAGGUCCCAAGCGUUGUUCGGAUUCACUGGGCGUAAAGGGUGCGUAGGCGGCCUGGUAAGUAGGGGGUGAAAUCCUGCGGCUUAACCGCAGGGCUGCCUUCUAAACUGUCAGGCUUGAGCACGGUAGAGGCAGAUGGAAUUCCCGGUGUAGCGGUGGAAUGCGUAGAGAUCGGGAAGAACAUCAGUGGCGAAGGCGGUCUGCUGGGCCGUUGCUGACGCUGAGGCGCGACAGCGUGGGGAGCAAACAGG